RNAcentral lists this ribosomal RNA (254 nucleotides) under uncultured Gigaspora. RNAcentral's name for it is "partial 18S ribosomal RNA". It matches the Rfam family "Eukaryotic small subunit ribosomal RNA", at positions 624 to 888 of the family's 1831-position model. Lineage: Eukaryota; Fungi; Glomeromycota; Glomeromycetes; Diversisporales; Gigasporaceae. The record is from RNAcentral.
AAGCUCGUAGUUGAAUUUCGGGUUCUACCGUUGGUCGGGCAAUAGUCUGUACUGGCGUGUAGAAUUUCUACCUUCUGGGGAACUAUCAUGUUAUUUAUUUAGCGUGGUAGGAAACCAGGACCUUUACCUUGAAAAAAUUAGAGUGUUCAAAGCAGGCUUACGUCUGAAUACAUUAGCAUGGAAUAAUAAAUGGACGGUGGUCCUGUCUUGUUGGUUUCNGAAUCACCGUAAUGAUUAAUAGGGAUUAGGUUGGG